RNAcentral lists this ribosomal RNA (515 nucleotides) under uncultured bacterium. Its description in RNAcentral is "partial 16S ribosomal RNA". It matches the Rfam family "Bacterial small subunit ribosomal RNA", at positions 28 to 523 of the family's 1533-position model. The record is from RNAcentral.
GACGAACGCUGGCGGCGUGCCUAAUACAUGCAAGUCGAGCGAUGAUUAAAGAUAGCUUGCUAUUUUUAUGAAGAGCGGCGAACGGGUGAGUAACGCGUGGGAAAUCUGCCGAGUAGCGGGGGACAACGUUUGGAAACGAACGCUAAUACCGCAUAACAAUGAGAAUCGCAUGAUUCUUAUUUGAAAGAAGCAAUUGCUUCACUACUUGAUGAUCCCGCGUUGUAUUAGCUAGUUGGUAGUGUAAAGGACUACCAAGCCGAUGAUACAUAGCCGACGUGAGAGGGUGAUCGGCCACACUGGGACUGAGACACGGCCCAGACUCCGACGGGAGGCAGCAGUAGGGAAUCUUCGGCAAUGGGGGCAACCCUGACCGAGCAACGCCGCGUGAGUGAAGAAGGUUUUCGGAUCGUAAAACUCUGUUGUUAGAGAAGAACGUUAAGUAGAGUGGAAAAUUACUUAAGUGACGGUAUCUAACCAGAGAGGGACGGCUAACUACGUGCCAGCCGCCGCCGUAA